Molecule: ribosomal RNA, 468 nt
Filed under: uncultured bacterium
Lineage: Bacteria
Description: partial 16S ribosomal RNA
Rfam family: Bacterial small subunit ribosomal RNA
Source: RNAcentral
GACGAACGCUGGCGGCGUGCUUAACACAUGCCAGUCGAACGGAAAGGCCCUGCUUUUGUGGGGUGCUCGAGUGGCGAACGGGUGAGUAACACGUGAGUAACCUGCCCUUGACUUUGGGAUAACUUCAGGAAACUGGGGCUAAUACCGGAUAGGAGCUCCUGCUGCAUGGUGGGGGUUGGAAAGUUUCGGCGGUUGGGGAUGGACUCGCGGCUUAUCAGCUUGUUGGUGGGGUAGUGGCUUACCAAGGCUUUGACGGGUAGCCGGCCUGGGAGGGUGACCGGCCACAUUGGGCCUGCGAUACGGCCCAGACUCCUACGUGAGGCAGCAGUGGGGAAUAUUGCACAAUGGGCGGAAGCCUGAUGCAGCAACGCCGCGUGCGGGAUGACGGCCUUCGGGUUGUAAACCGCUUUCGCCUGUGACGAAGCGUGAGUGACGGUAAUGGGUAAAGAAGCACCGGCUAACUACGUG